GACGAACGCUGGCGGCGUGCCUAAUACAUGCAAGUAGGACGCACAGUCUAUACCGUAGCUUGCUACACCAUAGGCUGUGAGUUGCGAACGGGUGAGUAACGCGUAGGUAACCUGCCUAUUAGAGGGGGAUAACUAUUGGAAACGAUAGCUAAUACCGCAUAACAGUAUGUAACACAUGUUAGAUGCUUGAAAGAUGCAAUUGCAUCGCUAGUAGAUGGACCUGCGUUGUAUUAGCUAGUAGGUAGGGUAAUGGCCUACCUAGGCGACGAUACAUAGCCGACCUGAGAGGGUGAUCGGCCACACUGGGACUGAGACACGGCCCAGACUCCUACGGGAGGCAGCAGUAGGGAAUCUUCGGCAAUGGGGGGAACCCUGACCGAGCAACGCCGCGUGAGUGAAGAAGGUUUUCGGAUCGUAAAGCUCUGUUGUUAAGGAAGAAACGAGUGUGAGAAA
Molecule: ribosomal RNA, 453 nt
Filed under: Streptococcus anginosus
Lineage: Bacteria; Bacillati; Bacillota; Bacilli; Lactobacillales; Streptococcaceae
Description: bacterial SSU rRNA
Rfam family: Bacterial small subunit ribosomal RNA
Source: RNAcentral